Molecule: ribosomal RNA, 403 nt
Filed under: uncultured bacterium
Lineage: Bacteria
Description: bacterial SSU rRNA
Rfam family: Bacterial small subunit ribosomal RNA
Source: RNAcentral
GGGGAAUUUUCCGCAAUGGACGAAAGUCUGACGGAGCAACGCCGCGUGAGUGAUGAAGGCCUUCGGGUUGUAAAACUCUGUCUUAUGGGAAGAAGAAAGUGACGGUACCAUAGGAGGAAGCCACGGCUAACUACGUGCCAGCAGCCGCGGUAAUACGUAGGUGGCGAGCGUUGUCCGGAAUCACUGGGCGUAAAGGGCGCGUAGGCGGUUAAUUAAGUCAGGUGUGAAAACUUUGGGCUCAACCCAGAGACUGCACCUGAUACUGGAUAACUUGAGUGCAGGAGAGGACAGUGGAAUUCCUAGUGUAGCGGUGAAAUGCGUAGAUAUUAGGAGGAACACCAGUGGCGAAGGCGGCUGUCUGGACUGUAACUGACGCUGAGGCGCGAAAGCGUGGGGAGCGAAC